AGCGAACGCUGGCGGCAGGCUUAACACAUGCAAGUCGAGCGGGCAUCCUUGUGGUGUCGGCGGCAGACGGGUGAGUAACGCGUGGGAACGUGCCCUUCGGUUCGGAAUAACUCAGGGAAACUUGAGCUAAUACCGGAUACGUGCGAGAGCAGAAAGGUUUAUCUGCCGAAGGAUCGGCCCGCGUCUGAUUAGCUAGUUGGUGAGGUUACGGCUCACCAAGGCGACGAUCAGUAGCUGGUUUGAGAGGAUGAUCAGCCACACUGGGACUGAGACACGGCCCAGACUCCUACGGGAGGCAGCAGUGGGGAAUAUUGGACGAUGGAGGCAACCCUGAUCCAGCCAUGCCGCGUGAGUGAUGACGGCCUUAGGGUUGUAAAGCUCUUUUCUCCGGGACGAUAAUGACGGUACCGGAGGAAUAAGCCCCGGCUAACUUCGUG
RNAcentral lists this ribosomal RNA (437 nucleotides) under uncultured bacterium. RNAcentral describes it as "partial 16S ribosomal RNA". It matches the Rfam family "Bacterial small subunit ribosomal RNA", at positions 29 to 507 of the family's 1533-position model. The record is from RNAcentral.